AUUGAACGCUGGCGGCAGGCCUAACACAUGCAAGUCGAGCGGAUGAAGGGAGCUUGCUCCUGGAUUCAGCGGCGGACGGGUGAGUAAUGCCUAGGAAUCUGCCUGGUAGUGGGGGAUAACGUCCGGAAACGGGCGCUAAUACCGCAUACGUCCUGAGGGAGAAAGUGGGGGAUCUUCGGACCUCACGCUAUCAGAUGAGCCUAGGUCGGAUUAGCUAGUUGGUGGGGUAAAGGCCUACCAAGGCGACGAUCCGUAACUGGUCUGAGAGGAUGAUCAGUCACACUGGAACUGAGACACGGUCCAGACUCCUACGGGAGGCAGCAGCGGGGAAUAUUGGACAAUGGGCGAAAGCCUGAUCCAGCCAUGCCGCGUGCGUGAAGAAGGUCUUCGGAUUGUAAAGCACUUUAAGUUGGGAGGAAGGGCAGUAAGUUAAUACCUUGCUGUUUUGACGUUACCAACAGAAUAAGCACCGGCUAACUUCGUG
RNAcentral lists this ribosomal RNA (484 nucleotides) under uncultured bacterium. RNAcentral describes it as "partial 16S ribosomal RNA". It matches the Rfam family "Bacterial small subunit ribosomal RNA", at positions 30 to 507 of the family's 1533-position model. The record is from RNAcentral.